RNAcentral lists this transfer RNA (77 nucleotides) under Microvirga ossetica. Its description in RNAcentral is "tRNA-Asp". It matches the Rfam family "tRNA". From Rfam's summary of the family: Transfer RNA (tRNA) molecules are approximately 80 nucleotides in length. Their secondary structure includes four short double-helical elements and three loops (D, anti-codon, and T loops). Lineage: Bacteria; Pseudomonadati; Pseudomonadota; Alphaproteobacteria; Hyphomicrobiales; Methylobacteriaceae. The record is from RNAcentral.
GCGGGCGUAGCUCAGUCAGUUAGAGUGCUGGCCUAUCACGCCGGAGGUCGCGGGUUCGAGCCCCGUCGUCCGCGCCA